This 164-nucleotide ribosomal RNA is filed under the name Acmispon argophyllus var. niveus. RNAcentral describes it as "5.8S ribosomal RNA". It matches the Rfam family "5.8S ribosomal RNA". From Rfam's summary of the family: 5.8S ribosomal RNA (5.8S rRNA) is a component of the large subunit of the eukaryotic ribosome. It is transcribed by RNA polymerase I as part of the 45S precursor that also contains 18S and 28S rRNA. Functionally, it is thought that 5.8S rRNA may be involved in ribosome translocation. The record is from RNAcentral. Lineage: Eukaryota; Viridiplantae; Streptophyta; Magnoliopsida; Fabales; Fabaceae.
CAUAAUGACUCUCGGCAACGGAUAUCUCGGCUCUCGCAUCGAUGAAGAACGUAGCGAAAUGCGAUACUUGGUGUGAAUUGCAGAAUCCCGUGAACCAUCGAGUCUUUGAACGCACGUUGCGCCCGAUGCCAUUAGGUUGAGGGUACGUCUGCCUGGGUGUCACA